ACACACACACACACACACACCCUCCGAGGAACAGCUCUUCGGACUUCCAUUCUGGCCUACACUCAACAGCUCUGUCCACCCAUCCACCUUGGGCUUCUCCAGUUCUCUGUCUCAUUUUCGCCUGUCCUCAGGUCUAUUUCGGGCAUCCUCUAAUGUCACAAAGUUCAACCAGAAGAUACUUUACAGGGGAAAAAACUCUUCUCCACUGCCCCCUCCACACCAAAAUAGAGAGGGGGGAACUCCAAGGAGGGGGGGGACCCCAAGCCCCCUUCCUUUUGUGGGUUUCCUAUCCUUCAGGCCGAGACUCCUUUACAGUGACCUACAGAAAGGGGGAAAAUUAUAUCAGUGGACGCCUGAGGUAUGACAGACAAGAGCUGCUUCGGUGCUUGCAGAAAAAAAAUUGAUGACACAGUUGCCGAAAGCUCUCUCAGGAUGUCCAUAUUUUCAUCAGAGAAAUGUUGGAGAGUAUGAGACACUGAGCAGCGCAGGAGAGCGUUGUCGUCUUGGAAGUGGAGACAUGUCCUGGACAGAGUUUCAAGGGCCAGACAGAACCUCAGUCCCCGUGCUAGAGGUUCCUUAUGCUUCUGUUUCAUGCAUUGCACCAAAACCAUGUCUUUAUUAAAUCACAUCACCUGCAACACAUGCAAUCUUGCUGAAAGCCAGACUGUGCUGAAGGCACAGUUUCUGCAACUUAGAAAGCGAACUGUAUUGAGUUGGUGGGGGGCAGGAAAGAAAGUAAGACAUUAUCACGUGACCAAUUCCUUCCAGGCCUUGGUAUACGCUCUAUAGAUCAUGGGUAGCCUUAAGGCCCCAGCUGGAGAGCAAUCCAGUUUACAAACAAGGAAACGGUACAUGCCCCCAAAGUCUUUGUGCAUUAUUGAAAAGGGCAUCAGGCACCACACUGUGCCAAAGAUAAGGAGACUAUAUGUUUUCAAAGCACCAUACCCCUCAAAUGGGUUGAUAAUUCAUGAAGAAAGCUACCUAAUGCUUUGAUCUCAGCAGACAAAAACAUAACUGACUGAACAGUGCUAUGGUAUAGCUCAGGCAUCCCCAAACUGCGGCCCUCCAGAUGUUUUGGCCUACAACUCCCAUAAUCCCUAGCUAACAGGACCAGUGGUCAGGGAUGAUGGGAAUUGUAGUCCAGAAAAUCUGGAGGGCCGAAGUUUGGGGAUGCCUGGUAUAGCUUCUCUUGUGUGUCAGUCAUAGAAUCAUAGGCCUCUGAUAGAGCAUCACUUGCCUUCAUUACCUAACAAUGGCCCUGCUUCAUCAAUAGAUAUCUCAGGAGGCCUUCUUUCUUAGGUACUCCAAAUUAGUGCCAUCCAGAUGUUUUGGAGCAGAGCUCUCAUCACCCUCAGCCAUGUGCAGUUGAGGGGAGUUGUAGUCCAGAAUAUCUGGAAGGCACCAGGAUGGGGAAGGUUGCCAUAGGGUUAUGUGUGUCAACUGGUUCACUGGUCAUCCACAGCCUCAGGCUGCCUUGAAGGUGCAUUCUGCCUCGAGUGACACAGCAGUAUCAACCAAACAGCAGUGUGUGUGUGUGUGUGUGUGUGUGUGUGUGUUCCAUCUCUGAGCAGCUCUGCAACAGAGUCCACAGGAGUCCUUAAAUAGGGCAAGGUGAGGGGCCACAGCUCAGUGGUCAAAAGCAUGUUUUGUUUGCAGACAGUGCCAGGUUUAAUAUUCCACACCGCCAGUGCAAAGGAUUUCAAACAGACAGUUGCUGUUGUUUAGUCGUUUAGUCGUGUCUGACUCUUCGUCACCCCACGGACCAGAGCACGCCAGGCACUCCUGUCUCCCACUGCCUCCCACAGACAGUAGGGGCCCCAAUAUGUGCCUUGUAUCUGUGCAUUAAAAAAGAGAUCAGUCUGUUUCUGUGUUGCUCUGUCUCUCUCCCCUCCCUUUAAUCACUUUCAGGUUCUGAGGCGCUCUAUUUAAAUGUAGUUCUGUGCUACACAUUCACUAUAACGGGGAAUCGAAAACCUGUUAAAACUUUUUCACCUUUUGGCCAAAGUGGAUGAAAUUUACAGGCCCAGAGUUCCUCCAGAGGAUUAAGCCAAUCAAUGCUGGAUCCAGUUUCAGCAUUGUUUCAUAUUAUUUUAACAUUGUUGAAGAAAAUGAUGGGUUUUCCUCCCACUCCUUUCAUUUCUUCCUUCUUAGCCCGUGACUGCCUUUAUCCCCCAUUAUAAACAGUAGAGUUUCAUUCAACAUAGGAGAGAUUCUGAAGGGGGUGGGUUUAAAGUAUUUUGCCUCCCUCUCCCUGGUCAAGAAUAUUAAGUGAAAUGCCGCCACCCAAUUUCAGUACCCAAAAUAGCAUGGAGAAUUUUAGGGUGCUUUUCACUGUGUUUCAGGGAAAGUUAUCUAGUCUUCUCAGCAAAUCUGACACCAAAAAACCCUAUCAAAAGGAGAAAUCAGGCAAUGUUGAUGGAUGGAGGAGAUAAAGGCCAGCUGGCUCCCCCUACCCCAACUGUGCAAGGCCUCCAUCCUAAAAUCCCACAUCAAGCCCUAGAUUGAGGAAGCUGUGCUCAGCCCUACAAAUUAAUAUAUAAGUAUCAUUCUUGUCUUCGAUCCACAACUUGGGAAGCUACUGUGCAUCUGUUGGUGUUGCCCAAAGCAAACAAAACAACUGGAUCAUCGUCCAUGUAUUCUGAGUUCCUCUUUGUUCCAACAUGAUUCAUUGAGGUAGGGUUCUUACAUUAAUCCUAUCAGCAGUCACUGGUACCAUAUAGGUUGAAGAUAUCUGGAGUAGAGCUCAAGGACCACCCUAAAAGAAUGAGCAGCUGCCUUGCCACAUUCUGAAUAUGCAUUACCACCAUAGAGCUCCCCCUGUCUCCACAGUAGGAUCAUUAAAACCAAAGUCUAGAAUUACCUAACUGCACCACCAUCAGCAAGAUUGGUUCAUGGUUCUUACAUCACAGUGAAUUCAAUGGGAUAAAUAAGCAUUUACCUAACUCUUUCACACUGCAAUCAAUGAGGUUUAAAAAUGUACUCAACAUACGCAGCAAUUUUCAUUACAGACCAGUUUUCCCCAACCUGGGGAUCUUGGAUUUUUUUUUGUACUACAACUCCCAUCAGCCCUAGCCAGCACAGCCAUGCUAUGUGAAGCUGAUGGGAGUUGUAGUCUAAGGCAUCUAGAGGACACCAGGCUGGGGAAGGCUGAUGCAGCCCUUCAUAACAACAGACUUUAUGGAAACACUUUGCUGUUUAAUUAAGACAGCCUUUUAUUUGUUUUGCACAUUGCUUGCACGCAAACACUCAUUCACAUCCUGCGUCUCGCAGAGCAUUAAAUCACUGCCGUGACGGCCAAGUCCAUUUAUUUAAACAAGAGAGCAGAAGUGGGCUUCAAGGAGUGCACCUUGUUUACGAGAUACAAAACCCUAUUAAUUCCAGGAGAAGUUGCUCUGUGCAGUUAGUGGUUUCAGACUUUCAUGAUGUACUCUCAUAUGGCAUAGCAAUAAUUCCAGCGAUAAUUCCAGAGAUGGGGUGAAUUGUUCAUUUGAGAUAUCAGAGCUAGGUUCUUUUGUGAAACCGUGUGAAGUCACACACAACACAUCUGUUCUUGCCAUAGCUGCCAAGUCUCCCGCUGAAAAAUGCAUGUCUGGGCACCGGAAAUUGGGCGGCGCCAGGACCCAAAAUGCCUGCCUCCCUGGCAGGUAAGAAAUCCGGGGGAUUUACGGGAUUUUUCCCAAUCCGGGCUGCCAGCGGGAAAUGGUUUAAAAUAUGGGGGUUUCCCAUGAAAAAUGGGAGGCUUGGCAGCUAAGGUACUUGCAAAUCCAGAAGAUUUUUUUAAAUUGCUUUUUAAAUUUUAAAUUCUAUUUAUAGACUAAAAGAUCUUGAAGUGGCUCACAUACACAAUAAAUACUAAAAAAAUAAAUAAAUUAAAAAUCCACAUCAAAUUAUUCACAAAACAAAACACAAAGCCAAUAUCCAUAUCCAUAACUGAUUUAUUGAUUGAAUUUAUAUACAGUUACAGACUCCGCUAACCCGGAAGUAGUACCUUGGGUUAAGAACUUUACCUCAGGAUGAGAACAGAAAUCGCAUGGUGGCGGCGCGGCGGCAGCAGCAGGAGGCCCCAUUAGCUAAAGUGGUACCUCAGGUUAAGAAUGGUUUCAGGUUAAGAACGGACCUCCAGAAUGAAUUAAGUUCGUAACCAGAGGUACCUCUGUAGAUUUCUAGUAAUCUGAAGCAGUAAUGGUCGCCUGCCCCACUCCUUUGUUUUCAGGUCCUCCCUUUUCCACACAGGAAGCUUGUAUCACUUGUGUUAGUUUGCUUUAAGGUUCAGUUUGGGUUCCACCCGUUCUGAGACGUUAUCAAAUAUGAUUAUCAAAUGGACCAGGUAUAUGUUAAGGUACGUUAUCCCACAGUUUCCAGCUUAUUUACCCAUCGCUUUCCUUCAGGGAAAAUAGGUUUGUUACAGAGGACCCCUCCAAUCAACUAAGAUUGUGCAGCCUUAAUUUGCCAGUAUGUGACUGACUCCCACCCCAAAAUAGCAAGAAUCUGGAAGCACCCUUGAUCAGUUCUGUCUGAAGAGAAUGAGAAGAUUUGACCUUCUCAUAUGCAGUCUGUGACCAUACGUCUCUUUGAAUGACUCGGAGAGAAGAAAAGUGUUGCACUGUACAAAUAUUUGUUUUAAAGGCCAUGUGGGAUCUGGAUUUGAGGCUUCCCAUUUGAAGGUGCAGGUGCUGGAAGCAGGACAUGAGCAAACCAAUACCUAUUCUCAAGAGACUGUGCCAGGCAUUUUUUUUUUUUAAAAAAACACACAUUAGCAUGCUUCAUAGAUUUUGGCCAAAGCAAGGAGAGAUGAAAGAGAGUGGCGUAGCUGGACCAAGAAGCAAGAGGGUUGUUUAAUGACGUGCUGGACUAUGCAGGGAAAAUAUGGACAAGGAGCAAAUCUGUGCCUUGGAAUGAAACUGCUUUUUGAUUGAUGCAAAUCUAGACAUCCUUUUGGGGAAAAAAAUUGCUUUGAAUUUCUCCAGCAAACAUGACCCCUCCAGAGAUACUAACAGUAUAUAAACAAUACUGAUGAACAGUAUGUUGUAAAAAUAGCAUCAAUAUGAGGAGAU
This is a non-coding RNA of Zootoca vivipara (common lizard), 5054 nucleotides long. Lineage: Eukaryota; Metazoa; Chordata; Lepidosauria; Squamata; Lacertidae. The record is from RefSeq and is a predicted model, not a curated record.